AAAAGACUUGGUCCUAAUCUUAUUAUCAGCUUUUCCUAAACUUACACAUGCAAGUCUCAGCACACCAGUGAGGACGCCCUUUCCCCUGCACCAGGAUAAGGAGCUGGUAUCAGGCACAAAACUUGCCCAUUACACCUAGUCCCACCACGCCCCCAAGGGCUCUCAGCAGUGAUAAAUAUUGUCUAUAAGCGACAGCUUGAAUCAGUUACAGAAAAAAGAGCUGGCCAACUCGGUGCCAGCCGCCGCGGCUAGACCGCACGAGCUCAAGUUGAUAAGCAUCGGCGUUAAGCGUGAUUAAAGACCCCUUUAACUAGAAUAAAAUCUACACUUAGCUGUAAUAAGCUUGCUGUCAGAGAAGACCAAAAACGAAAGUUGUUCUAGUCCACUUGAACCCACGAUAGUCAGA
This 406-nucleotide ribosomal RNA is filed under the name Limnonectes grunniens. RNAcentral describes it as "partial 12S ribosomal RNA". The record is from RNAcentral. Lineage: Eukaryota; Metazoa; Chordata; Amphibia; Anura; Dicroglossidae.